Molecule: long non-coding RNA, 37192 nt
Organism: Osmia lignaria (orchard mason bee)
Lineage: Eukaryota; Metazoa; Arthropoda; Insecta; Hymenoptera; Megachilidae
Source: RefSeq, a predicted model, not a curated record
GGCAAGAGAUCGCGGCGCGGGGAGGGGGUAGGUUUCGCGCAGGGAAAGUGGCGAAGGGGAAACUCGCCUGCACCGGGCAGACCGAUCGAGCUCGACAACAGCUAGUUCAACGCGUGCCAACCCUCUCUCGAGAUGCGGUCUUCUCGUGUUGAGUAAACGCGGUAUCCUUCGGUCCAUAUCGUUAACACCAUGCAUCUCGGUGAUUCCUUUUUUCUUCUUUUUUUUCUUUUAACGAUGUCCCCGAGGGAAGGAAAAAGUGUACAGGUGACGUUGAAAGUGAUCAAUCAGUGUCUGCCGUUUAGACCGUUUAAGAUCGCGAUGAUUAUCGUUUCGCGAUCGGAUGAUGGGGAAGCUGUCGGAGGAGGAGGUUUAACGCGGAGGCGUUUGGAUGGCUCGUUACCGCCCAAGAUCGUUCAAAAUUCCUUGGUUCGUAUAAUUAUAUCUGUCAUAUACCUUCAAAGUGGUCUGUGAAAGAGUAUACGGGCAAAGACAGUUGAAACGGAUAGCGCGAUUAGGUUUAUUUGGAUGGUACUCGGGAUCACGUGGUCGAGUGACGGGAAUAGUGGUCAACUAACGAUAUGCGAGCUUUGAUGUUUAGACCUCAUGGUGAACGUUUGGCUGUAAAUGUUCAUCAAGGGCCGUAUAGUUGACACAGAAUCUAUUUCCAUGCCCUGCUAUCGGUUUUAGAGUCUACAGCCUACUCGAGUUUACGAUGCUACACGGGAAGAUCUAGAGGCAGCAACUUGAAAAAUAAAAGGAAUAAAACGAAAAUUGCGGUGCUGAUCAGACCACGGUCGAUGAAUCCGGGAAACGUUUAAUAGUGUGAAUAAAUGUUGUCCCUCCGAUAGUAAUUUCGUCGGAACGAAACUAGCCGUGUUAUCGUCGCACAGUUGAAAGUGGUCGUGUGUAUUCUUGGCAGUCUGCAGUGAUAAGCUCGUUAUUUUAGAUAUAAAUAAACCGCGUGACAAACACAUCCAGCACCGAUGAUAGUAUAAUACGAUAAAAACGUUUUCCAGCAAUCAAGAAUUGAAACUCUAUGUGUCGAACGUCUCCAGUAUCCACGAUAACUUGGGCAAACUGAAUUCUAAGUCGCUCGAUAACAGUAGAGUCACCGGAAUGAAUUCCGCCAGAUCCAAACUCAUUGAUCCCAAUUGUACCCUUCUUCGUUCCCUCUGCGUCAUUACAUUCCACCGAGUGUAUCACCAGCAAAAAUGAGUGGAUGUUUGUUAAAAAUAAAAAAAAGUAUAAAAAGUUGAUCAAUUUCAAACAACUUAAACAGAAUAGUUCAACACGAUUUCAAAUCACCUAUGUGACAAACGGCGUCGAUUUUCCCGAGAAAUCAUGAUGCUUUUCUCCGGGUUAUUAACAUAGUCGCGGCGUGGAGAGCGCGUGACGCGUGUUGGUUACAUUACGAAGUCCUUCUGCUCCCCACCCAUGAAAUAUUUCUCGUGCAUCCCCGCCAGAAUUUCACCGCCCCUACCGCGAAGUCGGCGUAUAGCAGAAGAGGAAGACGAAACGAUUCGCGGCGGCACGAGACAGAGUGGAACGGAGCACGUGCCACGUCGGUGGGGGUGGAGGAGGAGCGAUAAAGUUGGAGGGGAAACGGGUGGUAGGACGACGAGAGGGGAGGUCAACGACUCACCCCCAUAGUUACCACUCCCCUUCCACCAACCAGUGGAGCGCGUUUUCUCCCACGUAACGGCGCUAACCGAUGGGACCUUUGUUGCCCGCCACGCUUGAACGGCGUCCCGCUCGAGAGUUUGGACGCUGGUGCCGCCCAGCGGUGAUCGUUGGAACUUUCGAAGAACGGUAGUGGGGGAUGAAGUAGAGUAGUGGGGGAGAAGAUGAGGAUCGAUGGAGGGGAUAGAGUGAAAAGGAACUGGUGGGGACGAAUGCAGAGAACGGAGCGAGUACGAGGACGGGGGCAUGCUGGUCUCAGGACGCGCAGAACGUCAGAGUGGGUCGAAAAGGACGGGUGUCUCUCGCUCUCUUCCUCACUCCCUCCCUCUCAUUCUCUCUUUCUUCAUUUCUUUCGAUCAUUUAUCUCUCUUGCUCAUUCCUCGUGGAAAGGCAGAGAAAGAGAGGUCGAUGGCGGGGUGAGAGCCGGCUUACUACGCGGCGAAACGCUACCACAGCGUUCAGUCGUCAGCGAUCAGACCGCCGGGCAGUGUGAACCUUCCUGGGCAGUCUCUUCAUCUACCAACUCUUCCACUGCUGUCCCUUCCUGGACAGCGACGCAAUAAUCAGCAUCUGGGAAAGCCGGGAAUCGCUUCCGAGAUGGAUUUGCCUAAUUGUCUGGAUGACCAUGGAUCACUUCGCUCUUACAGAACAUACAAAGAAGAAUUUCAACGAGAAUUCGCUGGAAGAUACUCGAGCCGAGGUGUCCAGACUCCAAUAAUCGAAGAAUAUUCUGAUUAAUCAGGAAGAUGGAAAUUGGUGUUCCUAUCGGCUCGGCUUGUCACGAGACUCGACGUGUAUCGAUGACAAGCGGACAGCUUCAGGGAGGUCCGACACUCUUUGGACCCUGAGUCGACACGAAGCUAACAGAUGUUCGAAAAGAUCUUCCGGAGCGAACGACGCUCGCGGUUCAAACCUCUGCAGGCGAUCAACGCGGGAGCAUUUUAGACGGUAAAGAAUUCCAGAAGGGAUCGGAUAUUCAGAAGUUCCCUCAACGAUCCAAGUUAGCAUCGAACACGUUCCAGACUCAUUUGACCGAUUGCGAUCAAUCGACAUGAGAGUUCCGUUUACCGAUCGACGUUCGACCAGUGAUAUCACAUGAUAGUGAAAUCGUAGAGAAGACAUUGAGAUGGGUAGCAACGGUUUGUGCGACAUCGCGUCGAACCACGUGGUGCUCCGAAUCGCGUGAACGAUCCGUACCCGACACUCUUACGUUCCACUUCGCAAAACCGUGAAGCAGAAAGGUGAAAACGGGACGAGCGUAGUUCCGAACCGUCACUUACCAUCGCAAUUAUAAACGGUGAAGUCGCUCGAAAGUCGUCAGGGUAUGUGGUGCCGUUAUGUAACGACCCGACGAACAACGAUGUUGAAAACCGUUCGCGCCUUCGGAACUGAACGACGAUGCCUUUUCACCGGGUCGCUGCGUGUGCGGGAAAGUGUAAACUGAAAUCGAAAUAAUAAUCGGGGGAGAAAAAAAGAAACGAAAAUGUGUGCUUGAAAGAAAAAGUGGGGGGAAAAGCUGUACCAUUGACGACGUGUUAUGCAGCUAGCUGUCUUGCUACGAGAUCUUGGAGAAACAUCGAAGAAGAUUUGAGGUGUGACACUGGAUAAGUGUGCAUGUUGCUUAGUGGCGAUUUCGGUAAGAAUCAUCGCGAAACCGGAGAGAAAUUGUACGGAAGUGUCGUGCUUGUUCAGUGCAUGGCCGAAUUCAUCUAUAAAUCGGUAAUGAAAUUUUUGAAAAUAUCCUAUAGCUCCAGUGAAGUGACUCGUAUCCGUAUUAAAGAUUGAUUAACCUGAAUCUCCACUGAAGAUCAUGCAGAACCUUCUUAAUAUCAAGACACCCCCGGAUAUUUGCUCUCAAAACGCCCCUUCUCGAUGACUCAUGUAAAUUCAAUUUUUCUUUGAAAAAUUAUUAAUCUUUCGUAUCUGAGAUUAGUAUCCUGUAUUGAUACAUAAAUUUUCUUUAAACUACAAAAUUGUUUUGGAACCUAUAGCACACUCAGGUGCAACGUGAGUUUGCUUUAGCUAAAGGUAGAAGUAGAGGAUGGAACGUUCAUAAUUCGCUAAGAAAAACGGCUCUGUUCUCAAUCGAGAGGAUUAUAAAUAUUUUAAAAGCUAGAAAUUUUAUUAACCGUGAAAAACGUCGAUUCAAAGAAAUAGAAAUAUCCGAUUUAUGCGAAUAGAAGGGUUAUUGGCGUGUUACGUCAUUUUGUGGAUCAAGGCGCUGAAGAAUCCAGCAAGACGAUACGGCCCUGUCCUCGGUGGGUAGAUAGGGUAUAAUCAUGGCGAGUUUCGUAUCUCGAAGGGGCACACGGGAAGAUGGUCCAACAUCUGCCGCUGCAGGGAAUCUCUGCCCACAUGCUGGCCAACGUACACGUACGUACGCACGCACACGGGCAAAAAGUGACAUAGCUACACGCCGGGACGUCAUGUAAAUUCAUUCGAAACACAUGGCAGGGCCGAGGCGGCCUUCUUCUCCUGCGUGAGCUAAAGGGUUCUUCCACGGAGGAAUCUGUAUAGCUACGCGGACAUUGGCUCUGGCUUAAUAGAAGAAAAAAAAAUAACUAAAAACGAUCGUUUUGACUUUUAGACUACGAUCUAUCUUUCUCUAUCCUCGGAUAACAGCGUUUCGAGGGACGCUGAGUAUGUGUUCCGGUUCGUCGCUUCUUCUUCUCUAAGAAAUUCUUGGAAUUCUUUUGAUUUUUGGUUGGGUUUUAAUUUAAAUUCUGUAUCGAGGAAUUUGUUGUAUUUGAACACAAUUUUUUACCAUUUUACAUAUUUUCUGAAAUUCUGAACCAUCUUAUCUCAAAUUUAUAACACGAUUCUUAAUUAUUCCUUCGUAUCUUGUCGAUAUAUUCCCCAUACGAUUAUCAAAUCACAGAUAAUGGGUCGACUAAAUAGCUGCUUUGAAAAGCGAUUACCGAUCUCCUGUUAACAGGUGAAAACUAAAUUGGUUCAGAUCAAUUGAGAAAAAAAAAAAAAAAAAAAAAAAAAAUGAAAAAGGAAAAAGAACAUAAACUAACGGAGCAGGAGAAGAUUCUCAUUAAUAAGUCGUCGAUCUUCUUACGCGAUUAGGAAGAAAUAAAGGUGCCAGUUAAAAAAAACAGCGCGUCGAAAUAACAGAGAGCGUUCGAGGGUAACGAGUACGAGCGGCUUAACGAGGGUUCCGAAGAAAUCGUUAACGGGGUAAUUCUUGCGUUCCGCGGGUAAUUACGGCGUCGAAACCAUAGAAUUUCCGCGCUCUUCAUUCAUUAUGCUGACACGCAGGCAAUAAUGGAUAGCCUUUUGUUUUCGAUUCGUCAAAUCCAGGCUGGAUUCUAAUCUCGGGACCCGAUAGCCGGUCGUUUAUAAAACGUUAACCGUGCUCGUCGGCAAAACGAGCAAAUAGGGGGAGGUAGAAAAAAAAAAAAAAUAAAAAACAUAAAAAGAAGACGAAGAAAGAGAGAUGGUAAAAUAGGAGGACGCUUGCCGUGCGGAAUUGCAGAACUGCCUUUAAUUAAAGCCAUCAAGCUAGUUGAACAAUUAUCAUUAAUUAUGGACGUUGCUUGGCCGUUCACAUGAGCCAUCGUCGUGGCGAGCUCAGCCUAGAGAAGGUUCGUUCGCGUGCACCGCGUCAAUUUAAAAAGGAAAAUGAGAAAACAAAGAGACAGGGAUCGAGAGAGGAACGAGGAACGAUACAUAUCCACCGUGUGUUUAUCCACCAAAGAUCAGUUAUUCGUUCCCCUUGCCCGAUCUCAAGACCGGUUCAAUUUGAAAUCUUAAGCGAAACGAUUUUUACCGCUAAUUAAAGGCGCGUUAAUUAAAAAAGUACAGCCCCUGGUUUCAUGCUCGAAUCGUCCCUUGAUCGUUUAUAAAUCGUUGUAUCGUUAACUCGGUUAUUCGCUGACGAUAAGGACAUUCGUGGGUCGUUACGAUACCACAGAAUUAUAUUAUGAAAAUUUAUUCGAUUGAUUUCUUCGAUUGAAGAAAGCGAAUGAUCUUGAAAAGUAUCUUCCGAUUAUAGCGCCGAUCAAGAGUAUUUCUGAUUCUCGUUGGUAAGGUCAAAGAACUACUGGCGACAGUUUCGAAGGCUUACCGUUUCGAAAGCACAACGAAAAUCGUGGCGCAAUAAAAAUCACGAUUUACAGACCACGUCAUCGUCGUAAAACCGGGGCCAAUGACUCGAUGAGCAGGCCUCGCGUUUCACUGCCAUGAGUUACGUUCGCCAGUUAAUUCCUCUUGGACCCUGAAGCACGAUUCAGGAAUGCGUUGAUAACGUUAGUGAUCGUGUUUAUUUUCUCUGUCUUCUGUUUAAAACUCUUUGGAGGAUAAAGAUGGUUCUAUUCAUAGCACCACUCCUUUUUUUUUUUUUUUUCAAAAUAUUAUUUUAAACGAUUCAUUGCAUAUUUAUUGAUCUUUAUUUUGAGCUAUAUUUAAAAAACGCAGUCAAUAUCUUUAAAAUUAUUAAAAUCGUUAAAAAUUAUUACUGAAUAUAUUUUGAAGUUUUAAAAGUUGAGAGGCAAUUGAAUUUGUCAAAAAUUUUGAAAUAUUUCUUUUACAUUAUAAUUUGCUGUUGAAAAUAUUGAUGAAGUAACUUCAAUUAAUCCAUAAUUAUUCUUAGUAUUCUAUAAUACAGUCUUUCACUAAAUUCUUUUUAAAGAUAUAACUAUCAGGGAACGACGACGUAGUGAAUAUCCAAAUGGAAAGAAAAUAUAAGGGAACAGGGCGAGCAGUCCCUAAAAGGGUACUUCGUAACUGUCCGUCGAUAAUCUUCUCGCGACGAUAAUUAAUUACGAGUUAUUUGGAACGUUGCCCGAUUACGGUGUGUCUUAACGGGACAAUAGUGAGCGGGUAGGACGAUAAUGGGGCCCGAUAGCAUGUCCUUAUUAGGAAAAAUUUAAGGUUCGACCGCGUGUUUACGAGCGCGCGGACCGCACGCCAGAACGAGACAUAUUUCUCCGUGAAAUUUAACGAACCUCCGCGCAAUGGGACACCAUUAAAAAAUUCCUGAGCGUCAUGUGGCACGGCGCACGCAAUGUCGAUAAACGCCGCCGGCUUGAAUAAGCCCGCGAACCCGCUACAACUAACAUGACCGGGAAUGAUAAUAUUACCAGACAUUUCACACAGACCCGUGCAAAAGUAUCAUCAAAAGAAAAAAAAUGACAAUUGAUUUAUUAGCUAAGCGGAUAAUUAUUUUCCGUUUAAUCGCUGGACGGACACGGCGAAACAGCUUUCUAACACGAAUUUUUUGGAUAAACAGGAUUAAUUUCUUUAUUAUGGUACUAUUUCUUGUUUGUCGAUAACGGAUAAUUAUUAUAGCAAUAAAUUUGAACCAUGGGUGUAAUAAUGUUUGAUAAAUUGCCAUUGUUGGGUACUAAAUGCUUAAUGUGAAAAUUAAUGGUAAUUUUGAAUAAUAAAUCAGUGAAAUUUGAUAAAUCAUUUUUAAAAAUUGGGAAAAUCUAUGUCUGAGAAAGAUAAAUGUGUAUUCGCAACGAGAUCAGACGGACGUUUCAAUUAUUUAAGCCGACAAGGAAGGCGAGCUCGCCAGUAAAAAGUUUAACGCCGAUGGAAACUCGAAAGUUCAUUUCGUGCAUGUAACGAACUUAAAUAGCCGGAUCGUGUGCACCGGUUGGCCCGCGACUAUUAUCAGAUCAAUAAUUGCAAAGGAGGGUCGAACUUGCCGAACUUUGAGCCGCGUUUCAGGCUAAUUCGUGCCUAUCAGCCUCGUGUCUGUCCCCCGUAACUUCUUUGAAAGGGGGUAUAAAAAGGAGUUUCUUUGCACGUUGCCUGGAAAGUGCAGUAGCUAGCGAGACGUUUGUCUAAAACUGCGUUCAAGUUAAAAUCACGGAUAAAGCUUGAAAUAAAUGGAACUUUGUAACGCACUUUGAUCACAAAGAAGGUUCUUGAAAGAAACUAAAGGAAAAAAUUGAAGAAAUCAGUAAAUAUGUAAAUUUUAGAAUUGAAAAUAUAUUCAUGGACCAAUGAUAGAACUUUAAGAAUUUUUUCAGGGCUGUUUUCUUCGGUAUAACACGAUAGAAAAUCGACGAGUUUUCUCGUAUAAUUAACCAGUUCCUGCAAGGCGUAUUUUAACCCCAUGGUGACGUCUCUAUCCGAUCGGGUCGGCCUCAUAUCGCGGUGUUUACUUGAAUUUACAUCACACAUACAUAUGUAUGGAAGAAACUACGAUUUGUAUCGUCACGUUGGCCAACUAAGGAGCCGGAGUCGUUAACGAAGAGAAUAAUUAGAAAGCGCGGCCAAAGGCCCAUGAACGAUUCUUCGUACGUCCACUCUUUCAUUUUCUUUUUAGUCGUAAGUAGUAUUAAAAAAAUCCUCCCCUUUUGGAUCGUAGAAAAACACUAAGAUUUUUUAAUUUCUCAAAGGAUUUAAUUACAGAAAUAUUAUAUCACAGUAAAAUCAAUUUAUUUAGAAUACUUCUAAUAAUUUUAAGCUCAAUAUUUAAUUUUUUUUUAAUCUGUACGCAUUGUAAAUAUUUGCAUUUAAAAUCCUUUCAUGUAAAAAGGACGUGUUUAUAAUAUAAUAAUUAUAAAGAGUUAAUUGGAUACCCCACGCCCAUAUGUAUCAUCCUGUAACUCAUUCGUUUUAUAUCCUUCGACUAUUACUAAAAACAUUUCUUUCGGUAUUUCAAGCCUCGUUUUAUGCUUGUUGUAAAGUGUAUAGUAAUUCCAGUAGAAUACAUACAGAGUUAGGAUACCCUGUUUAGGAAAUUGGUUGUUACUGUAUUGCGACUUUUACCAUUCCUUUCUUCGUUGAGAUUAUAUUUUCGCUUCAUGCAAUAUUUGUCAACGAAGACAAUUAUCGUUAAUCGUGAACCUAUUUGGAUAGAUUGAUUCUUUUCUAUUCAUUACCGUUUUAAAAAGAAGGAAAAUAACAUUUACAAAAUAAUAUUUCUUUUUAAUGAAAAGAAUUAAAUGAAUUAAAUUCAUUUUCAAAUCACAUAUCCAAAACAAUCAACCCUGUUAAUUUAAUAAACACAGCGAAUUGAAAGAACGAGGUUCUGGUGAAUUUGAAUUAGUUCCACUAAUUGCUCUAAAUUGCUUGUAUCUGAUAAUAAGAAAUUCUUCAACGUUCUUUUGAUGAAUACCUACUUGUAGUUGCACAAACGCGAUCAGAUCGAGAGGGAUAAAUCAUUCCGAUAGGACUAUAUUUACGACUGCAUGGCAACUGAUCGAUAAUCAAUUAUAACUCGGAUCGACAGCUUUAUCGUCGAUCGUGGAAAAUUACCCGCCAUUAAUUCUCACCUUGGACUCCUUCACUGUACACAGAAUAAAACCGCGAAAUUAUACUCGUGUACCACAGAAAUCGACAUAAACGGUAGAAUAACUUUGAUCGCAUUCUAACAAGCGUUCAUCGACCGCGAAUUUCCAUGGUCCGUCGGUGAAUUAAUCGUCCCGAUAGUGGAUUCGCGGCUCUCGCGAACGGAUUCGGUGUUUUCGCCGACCUUUUUUUUCCCCUUUCGGAGACACGCGUACGCGAAUUAAUGGGUGGAUGCCGAGGCAAGCGAGGGUAAAAAGUUUGAUAAACCUCCAUGGUGGUCUUUUUUUCCCUUUGUCGGCUUCCAACGAGCGGCCAGUUGUUGAUAUUUGUCAUGAAAAUCGUUUCGCUUGUCGGCAAACAGAACUCGCGCCUCGGUAUGAACCGCGUGAAAAUGUAUUCGAAAUCUCGUGCGAUAAAGAGUGGUAGAAUGGAAAAAAAAAUAACAGAAAAAAAACAGGGUAACCGGAGGGAGUGAGAAAAAAAGAAAUAUGCGAACACCGACACGAUUUUCGGAGGCUGUAAAAAACACGUGUUUGCACGGGGAGCCGCGGUUGGGUCCGAUCAGAUGGCUGCAGGGCUGAUUUGCAUGCGACCUUUGCCUCCAGGUGUUCCAGAAUUUGCAUACGAAAGGGUGGCGCUCGCAGAUCUCCCCCUCUACCCUUCUGGACCCCCUCCCUCGGUCGCUCAUUUCGUUUCCCUUUUGCUCCUCUGUCUUUCUCGUCGCGGCUUUCGUUCAACCCCCGGUGGACGCAUUUAUAGGUUACUGGCUCAGCGUGUCGUGCUGUUAACUCACCGUUAAAUUUUCGUUAACGUCACUUCUUAACCGGCCAGACCUCACCGGUCGGACGGGAAUUAGUUCUGUGUCGCAGCUUCGGCUUCGAUUCGUUAUUCGAGGCAUCGGUAGUAAAAUAAUAUUAUUCCUUUAUGAAAUAUUUGUUGAAAGUUCAAGAUUUCUAAUUGAAAUAAUCACCCCCUUCGCUAAUUAUAGUUGCUUGUCAUGAAGUAGUCAUUGGGUACCAUGGAUAACUAUAUUAUUACUGUAGAGAGCUGGGAAACAAGAAGUAGUAUAUCAUUUGGUGAAGCAGUCAUAUUUGCUAAUUAGACUUGUGUAAAAUUAGAAAGCCGACCAGUGUACGCGGAGGACCCCUCUUACUCCAGGGUGAAUUCUUUCCAGCUCCCUACAGUAUAACACAAGGCGUUGACAUUUUUCAUUUUGCAAAUAAAACAAAGUUGUAGGAACUAAGAUUCUUGGAAUAAAAGAGCUAAGAUAUUGUAAUUAAAAAUUUGUUGACGGAUAGGUAGUAUAAUGUCAUGGGGUGAGUUCUAUUUCUGUGAUGCACUCGAGCAAGAUAAUUUAUUUAUCUACUUAUGUAUAAUACAGGGUAAAAACAAUAACCCUUUGUUAGAGACUGAGAAGAGGUACUGAAUAACAUGGUAUACAUAGUUGCUUGAUACAGCUACAUUGACGAUAAAUAAUGGUUAUUCGUCUAAUAAUUAUGUUCUCCACGUUAUUUAGAAUGAUUAGGAUAUAUACAAUCUGCAUAUUUUAAUGAGGUUCACAGAUUAUAGUAAUUCACUUGUUUCUUAUCAGAGCUACCAAUCUAACUUAUGAAACAACGAGUCUCAUUACUUUUGGUUUAAUGUAUAAAAGAUUCUACUUGUACAUUCUUUGAAUUACUUUUUAUAAUUACGGUUAAUUAUUAGUUAUUUUAAUGUGUUGUGCAAUAGAGAUAAAUUAUUGAAAUGGAUAGAAUUUUAUAUUUGGAAAGUCUGAUGAAUGGGUUACAUUAACUACUGAGAAACUUACUCUUUUUAAAUUGUUAAUCUGGGAAAAAGGGGAAUCAUUCAAGAAUUUUAUACAAAAAACUUCAAAAGAUUCUGUACAAAUUUUAUGAAUGAAAAUUUCAUGCUAGAAUGAUCAGUUUGCUCAAAGAAAAGGGAAUCAAAACUGUUUUUUUCAUUGCUGGAAUAAUUAAAUUCAUUCAGAAGAAACGAAUUCACAAAAUGUUAAAAAUUUCUAGACUCAAUUGAACGUUCGCGAAUCAAAGGUAGUCGAGAGGGCAAAACAAUGUGAAAAGUUUGCAAUUCACCAAAUCAAAGGCAAUUAUGAGUUCAAUCACUGUGCCUCGAAUAAACCUAUUAAAAAGAAUUGCGAAUCCGAUCAAAAAUAUCGCGAGUAUCUUUUUGUGUAAUGAAAUUUUCCACGCGAACCAUUGAUUCUUUUGUUGCGAAAUGCGAAUUUUCAUUGAACAGGAUUAUUUCUCUUUCGGUGUAAUGAUUAAUCGAUAAGAAAUAUUUUUAUAAAAAAGAGAUUUUGUGUUGGAACUUACAGCAAACAAGACAAAUUGCAGCAAACCAAAAUUAAUAAUAUAGAAUUUCAAAAUAAGGCUUAUGCCAUUUGCUGCCUCGGAGUUAAAAAAAAAAUGAAUUUAUCAUUUGAAGAAUCAAGUACCUCCUAUUAUCUUUUUAUUAUAUAACAUUACGGGUAGGAAUGAAGUAUUUGUCGUUAGAAUUGUAGCGAGGCAAUAAAUAUUUUAUGUUAUCUUGUACACCACCUGGCUGUUUCUUCAUCGGAACGUUCUGUUCUCAGAAAUAUCGGAUUGUGAUUUUUUCCAACGUUCUUCAAGUCUGAUUGCACACUGCCAAGAAUAAUGAUAGCCUUGUCACGAAACGACUGGUUACUUUUUCCUUAAAUUAUCGUUUCUUUUGAUUGAAGAAGGACUGUUCUUCAAGACAUACGUAUCACUCAAGUAUUUUGUCAUACCAAUGAUUUAUUGCUUACUUUUGAUUUUUCUCUUCUUUUCUGUAUAAAUAAUUCUUCAAUUCAUGGCAAAUUAUUAGCUAAAUACAAUGCUAAGUUGUUUUAAUGAAAAUUUCAUUAAAUUUUAUCUUGCUGAAGUAUCUUACUUGCGAAAAUAAGUUAUUUUAAAUAUUCAAUAAAAAAUUGAUUCACUGAGCAAUUUCAAACGGUGUUGAAUUAAUCUGAAGCAAAUUACGAUGGAGGAAUCACGUUCAAAAAUAAAGAUUUCGAGCGUACUUGAGCCAAGUCUAAGUCACGGCUUACUUAAACUACUUCCACUCCGGAAGUUGCGAACCUAUCUACUUGACGUGUAACUUUUCACAGUUGUUUCGAAGCAGACUCUAAAUCAAGAAGAGAAGUUUCGUAUACAUAUACAGAUUAUAAAUCACAUUUAUCAUUUUUCUUCAGUUAUUAAUUACAUCUCCAAUUAUAAGCAGCAUUAGAUUUUCUUUCUCAUCGUGUAUCCAUCCAUUUCCAAAUACAAAUUUGAAUUGCAAUAGUACUUAUAUUAAUGAAAGGAAUUUGUUUGAUAAAUUAAUCUUGCUGCCUAGUUAUCAGAGGCAGUAGAAGAUAGAGCGGAAGUGGCGGAAAGAUACGAACGUUUCUUAUGAUUUUUCUCCGUCCUCUCCCACUUGAUUCUCGGCUAAUCACUUAAUCAGCCCCGAAACCUCCCCCAGUGUCAUUGCGGUGCGUGCGAGUACGCGCGCGUGGGACCCGCGUGCGUGUAUACGUGUGUUUCGCGAUGACGAAGGAGAGGGCCGAACGGCAGCCAUCUUGGCUGACGUCAGCUCAUGCCGAGCACGCAACCGCGAAACGCCGACUUCCUCGUUGCGAUAGCGCCUUACUUUUUUAUUACUCUCCCUCUUCGUUCCUCUUUAACGCGACACGUUCUGUCCUCUCUGUUUCGCGCGCUUCCCUCACGCCGAUUCUUGCUCGUCCCCCUUCACCUCCCCCGUGCACACGCUGUGCGUGCACGUUUAGGCUGCGAAACGAAGCGAGACACCCCUCCCGUGAUAUCUAAAAUGGCGGAAUUUAAUGGACAAACGCUUGGAUAUUAUUCGCUACUCGCAAUGAACAUUAAGGUAGGCGGUAGUGGUGAUUACUAUCGCAGCUGUUCGGUUUCCGCGCCGCGGAAACGGUGUGAAACGCGUCUCGAGGAUCCUCGGGAGUUACGGUUGAUAUAGCAGCCGCUUCAUAAUUUCCCGCCAUGUAAUUCCCGCCGGAGAACGCCCAUUAUUCUUACACGUGCGUGCAUGCCAGUCUCUUGCCUGGCUGUUUCGCGUAUGACAUUCACGUUUAUAAUUCCUCAUUUUCUGGAAAAUGGUCUCUAGUUCAUCCCCAGAGACCCCGAAACGAGGAAUUAUCAAACGGUUAUUAAAAGGGAAAAAAAAUCGAAUAACAUCCCUAUUGAACUACUAAUGGAAAAUUGGACGUGUCCAUUUCUACUGUGCCUUUCACCCCAUUAAUGACCCCGUAACUUGAAUUAAAACGCAGUUAAGAUCGAUCUUGUUGUUUACGGUUUCAAUAAAAUACAACAGGAUCCCGACGAUCCUGUAACUCAGAUCGGGAAGAACCAGUUUUAAAAUAAGGGACGAUUGAGGGUGGAAGGGAUAAGAGGAUGUACAAGAAAAACGAAGACACCGCGAGCGCUGUCGUCCGUUGCGAUAGAAAUUUUCUUUUUCUUCCAUUUUUUGCGGAAACAUUACGAUUUAUUAUGGCGCCUGAUACUCGUCACCGAUCGGAUCGGUACGCUUGAAAACCUGCUCCGGUAAAAAGCGAAUGAAAAACGAGAUCAAUGGCCGGCCAGGACGCUAAUCUAGACCGGGACCCCGUGUUUUGUUUUCUUCAUCCGACCAAUCACGUUGCCGAGUAAACUGUCUUGGACAAGUCUAAACGUCACUGAAGCGAAUAUUCAUUUUUUAUCUAACCAUCGGCUCCGAUUCAGAAGUUGCAAUAAUAACGAAAUUAUCCUGGGGGCUCGUUUCUUCUUCGCUAUAAGUGUUCUUUGUAUCCUUUCAGUUUUUUUUAUCGUAUAAUUUUAAACAAUUUCAGCUAAUAUCGAUAGCAUUUUAGUUUUCUAACGAUUCCUUGGCAUUAGAAAUAAUUUUGCUUCAUAGAAAUUCUAAUAUUAAACUGUAAUUUUCAUUCAAAUUAAUUUCUAUGAAUCUGCAUUCUUAAUGCCACGUUAACUAUCAUUCAUUCUCUGGAAUCAUUAUUAUUGCAAAUAAUAGAAGAUAUUUAUCAGAGUUUAAGGCUCUUAAUAGGAAACAAAUUGAUGAUUUGUUCGAAUUACUAUUAUCGCUCUGUCACGCCCCGCCGAGGGGAUUACAGCCGUUGACUGUUACUUGUCUGCUUUAUUGCCUACUGCGCCACCGUGUUCGCACUAUAAUAUGCUAAUAGAGGGAUGCUAACCUCCCCCUGUCACGAUGGAUCGUCGUAUCCUAUUUACGAGCACUUGCCCCUCACUUCCCCUUCUUGUUCGCAAGAACAUUACGAGGAUCUUAGGAAUAGUCGUAUGAGAAAUGGCCGGUGUGCUCGUGUAAUUGUAGGAAACGUCGAACACAAGAGGUGAAGAAAGGCAAGUUUCAAAUCAAAUUCUUCCAAUUCCAUUCAAUCUCAAACACUGAGAGAGAGGGAGAGAAAGAGAGAAAGAAAUUCAGAAAAAUCUAAGAAUAUAUAAAAAAAACUCUAUUACAUUAAAAGAUAAAAAGAAAAUGAGUUGAUCGUCGCGUUAGAAAAUUCUGAUUCGAUGAAAGAGGGAUAAAUAAAAAGGGAGCAAAAUCAAAAGCAUUUUCUCUUGUUUGCACGCAUCCAGGUUAAACGAGGAUCGUUCGCGAGCCCACGAUCAUCCAGGAAGGACAAUUGACCGUGCUGACUGAGGGUUGGGUUGGGGCUUGGUUACGGGCGUGGUGCACACGAUAAAAAUGGCGCUGCGCGAGAGCGAGGGUGGCCUCUUUUAUCCUCGCAUAAAUGCCGCGUGUGUGAUGCACCCCCAACAGACCGCCCCGGUUUAUUCUGUCGAAAAACACCGUUCGCGUCCCCCCUCUGCGACCCCCGCGUCCUUUCGCGUCAGGACCCUCGCCCCGUGCCACCCUUCUCGUGAUUGGAAGGCACGAGCUCCCGCUUAACCCCUCAGCCAGCUUAUUAUGCACCAGUCGGAUAGAUGGAUGGCACGAGAAUGGUUUCGGGAUUGUCAGAGGGCACGUCAAUGACAGAUCGAGAGAUUUUUCGAGGGUUUCUCUCGGUUUCGACGUCCACGCGGGGAUAUCUUCGCUUGAAUGGGGUCAAACAGUAUUCUUCAGGAUCGUAUCCUUGAGGAAGGUGUCUUGUGCAGUCGUGGAUAGAAACGUUGGAAUUGACGGAUGUUGGGUGCAAUUUAGGGAUGUAUAUUUUAUUGAUAUUAUAAUGACAACAUUUACGUGAAAAAAUUGCUGGGAUGUAACAAGUUUAAUGACCUACACGUAGAGUAUGUACGAUUCUCGUUACAAAUCGAAGCAAACAAUACUGCUCGAUCUCAUGUUUUAAAGAACACUUUUAAGACUGUCAUAACAAUAAGCCAUACCAGGGGUGAGUAGGUGGGUACAAUCGGUAAUUAAAUAAACGACGAAGGUCGCGUUGAAGCCCGACGAUUGAUCCGCGUGAUGGGCCUAAUGGGUGAGAGUUAUGGGGUUUCGACGCUCGACUUCGUCAAGGAACCCGAAGUUUUCGUUACUUUUUCGUCACCGAUGAAACUACGCUCUUUUUUCAAAUUAAUUAUAAACAUUAAUUUAGCAAAAUAUAAUAAUAGCAAAGGUUGCAUCAAGAUAUUAUAGAAACAUCAAAUAAUGUCUGGGUUAUAAAAAGACAGAUUCGUUUUGCCGAAGAGCAAUGUUACACCAUUUUUUUAUAGGAUGCUCUUCAGCUUUCACCCACCUCAUCGAUGAGUUACGAGUUGGCCCAAUUGCUGCAACAACGUGUCAUUCAUCGAUACUUUUUAUUUGCGUGGUCAGUUCGCGAAAAAUCGAGCACGGGAGGUGAAAAAAAAAAUCAGGGUUAGCCAGUCAACGGAGGGUGUGAAACGCGCCCCUAACAAUUCCAUUUCCGACUGCGAUAAACCGUACGAUCGCGGCCGUGCAAUAAACCAAUCGAACCGGAUGUGCCGGGGAAUGCAACAACGAUCUCGACCUGAAUUUUUCGUUGUUUCAUGUAUCCAACGAUUCGUGUAAACACUGCAAACACUGUAGAUUAUCCUUUGUAUCAAUGAAACAACAAAUUCACACCUCAGAAUUAUUCAUUUGUAAAUAAAUUUGUAAUUUAUUGAAUCAUUAAUAUUGCGUUUAUUGAGAAAUUCAAUUUGUUGCAAAAUUAUAUAAUACCUAUCGGUAGUAAAAUCUUCCUGAUUUCUAUUUAGAAUCAACGAUGGAGAUAAAAGGAUUUUAUCAUUUGGUUUCCUCUUUGAUGAACGAUGCUUUGUGCACGACGUUAUCGGUUUGUUUGAAUAUUCAACAGAGUUUGCGAUCGGAGUUAGAGUCUUUAGAAAUGCCAGUUUCCGCUUUUGAUCUUGAGAUUGUGAUUCGAACGGUGAAAAGGUAUGCGGUGUACUAAAUUGCUGGAAUGUUAGAUGCCACGAUUCAUAGCGUGAAUUACUGUUACUAUUAUAAUUAUUGCAAGCAGUUUAUUGAAAAAAUUGUUAGAAUUCUAGUAUAAAAUCAUUAUAAAAAUUAGUAUAUUGUUUAAACUUUGAUAAGUAAUUAUGCACAGAUAAAGAUGUGAAGGUUGCAAAUUAAUUUGCCGACCUAAAAUACAAAUCCAAACCAAAGAAUCUCUGUCGAUAAAAUAUUCGUAUCGCGAUUACGAGUGCCUCGCGGUAUUUAUUUAUCCCGUGCGACGAUUGUGACUCAAGCAUUUGCUCGCGGAAUAUCAACGCAGCGAAGGAACGCGCGUUGCAAUAUGUAGGGAGAGGCAUGCAACGAUGUGUCGCAACGUACGGACGCGAGGGUGGAUCAGGAGGAUAGGGUGGGAUGCAAUUGCACCGGCCACACAGUCACGUAGCCACGUUUACAUGGAUGCUGGUAGGACACGUAUAAUGGCCGUGUGCACAUCGUCGAUAGUUAUUGCUUUGUUAUUGGGGCGCGCAGCCGGCCGCCACCGAAUGUUGGAUUUCCCUUUAUUGGAAAUUUCCUGCGCUCCACUUCUGCGAUUUCCCGAUUUCCCGUCCGCAAAUAUAACGGGAGAGCCGUCACGCGUCCGAUUUCACCCUUCCGCCCACACUUUCUCCAUCAUUCGUCCCCCUCUUUUGGUUUCGUUUCUAGUUUUAUUUCAUCCUGACAUCGAUUCUAUUGAUGUUGUGUAGCGUAGUUUCGAUGGGUUCAGCACACUUUUAUGGCUUUUUCAAACAGAGAUCAAAAUUUCAAUCGAAUCGAUUCACAUAAUCUUUUUAUAUUUUUCUUUCAAAGCUAAACAUUAAAUGUUAUAAUGUUUAGAAUAUUACUUCUUUUUACUUUUUAUUAAAGUGACAAUUUAAAUGAUUUCGUGCUGAUUUCUUCCAUUUUGUAAGAAUCUUUCGACCGUUUCGGUCACCAAUGCAACGAACAAGGGAGUGGGGUUGCGCGUGGCUUAAUUGAUUAAAUUUCGAGGGGUUUUCGUUCUACUUUCACCGUGAACGAGUCUGCAACCCUGCAUUGACUAUGGUUCACUCCCCACUUAACCAUGUUUCCCCCAUGCUUUUCGAAAAGGUCGAUCUGGGGUUCGAACGGUCGCACUCAGGGUCACAUGCAUCGCAAUGGCUCCCAUUUUGUCAUCUUUUUCCGAUGAUGUACGGCUGUACAGGACGUUUAGGAGUCUCGAUGCCGUCAUUGGACACUCUUGUUAUUCGAGAAUGAUAGAGUCGAGUUUAAGGACGCGGAUAUCGUUUCGUGAUUGCAUCAUUUGUUCGAUUAUGCUUCUGGUUAAUGUUAGCAAUCAUUUCUUGCUACUGAAGGAAGAUUGCAACGUAAACAUAAUUGUAUACAUCUACUUUUUCUUAUUAAAAAGAUAAAAUAUUACUGAUUCGAAUAAUGCUUAUUUUGAAUGUAGGUUGUUACUUGAGUUUUACUAAAUAGCUUUAUAGAAAAAAAAAUAUGAAGGUAAUAUUUUAUUAGUUUGGCAUUUUGUCUUCCAUUUUUGUCGUUAAUAACUGGUAGUUCCUAUUAGUAUGUCAUUAACGUAAUCCUUUGGAGGAAUGACUCAGAAGUGCACAAUGAUUCACCGAUGAGUUGAUUGCAAAAUCCACGUGUACCUCGUGAAAUCGAUAGACACGUGUCAAUAUUUUUCCUUCUCCUUGGCAAAAUUCCAUUUACUGUUUUUUCAUAUAUGCCUUAUUUUUGCUUUUUAAGCUUCGGGGAUUUUUAGAUGUAGAAACACACACCCUAUUUUGUAUAAAAAUAUUUUUUAAAUAAAAUUCGAAUACCUACUUAAAAAAAUUGCAAGUUAGAAGUCUGGAAAUUUUUAUCCAUUCUACAUUUUUAUGCACUUUGCAACUAUUUUACAAUCUUACAAAACAAUUUCUAAUUACAAGAAGCUUUAUCCUUCGACUUCAUUCUUUCAUAACCCCUCAUCGUUCUCUGCAAGCUUUUCAUACUUUUUCACAGUUGUACUUGAUCCUUUCAUUUUAACUCAGAAACAGAUUUUAUAUUUUUCAAAGCGAACUUCCCUGGAACAAUAAUACAGAUUCCGUAACAGAGGAACUGUAAACUUUAGACAGUUCUAUCGCAAUAUCAUUCCACUGUCUUUACAAUUCUCUGCAAUUUUUCAUAAUCCUCCAACAUUUUCCACAAAUUUCCGCAUCUCUUUAUACAGAAAACAAAUAUCUAGAUUAAAGGAAGGUCUAAAGAGAACUGUCCCAUUUACUGUAUCAAAAAAUACUGAAUUUUUUUUCACUUUUUCUUUACGAUCAAAUGCUAUUUAAUUUCAAUUAAUCAAGGGGACCCUCCAAAGGUUAAAUAGCCCGAGACCCUAGAAACCUUAAUCCGGUCCUGGUUACAUCCCUUAAGAAAAGAGCAUCAAAAGUCUAGAAACAGAGCUGAUUGUUGCAGACGAAGUCAAGAUUCACCGUAGUAAUUUUCAAUAUCCACCUUAUUACCUCGAAAUAAUACCUCGAUCCCAGGAGCCCCGGAUUACAGCGUAGUUCCUCGUUUCCUUGUCGACGGUGUCGGUGCUUCUAAUACCGUCGCCACUCGAAACGAAAUCUUAUCCAUAUUUCGUGACUCGGCUAGCAGGGGUUACGUCGAAGGAAAGGAGAGAAAAGAGGGACGAAUUUUUCGGGGGAUGCGAGAGCGGAAGCGGCGAGGAGUCCGCGAGGGGAGCAGUUCGCCUUCCGUCGAGGCUCUCCUUUACGACCACGUAGGCGUUUUUACAGGAUCUCGCAUCCUCGAUUUCGUACGAGUACCUUGCUCCGGGUAUUAAACUUCUGUUUUACGCGUUAUCCUGACAGACGAGUAAUAGCCGUGCAGAGUUUCAUAAUUCCGGAGUACCCUUGGAAAUGGCCCCGGUUGCUUCUUCGGGAUCCUCUCGACAAGUUUGAUUGCCGCGACGGACCGUGAAGCGUUCGAUGGAUGUCAGCGUUCGAUCUGCUCGUAAGAGAUGAACGAGACUCGGCCGAAAAUUGAUUCAAACACGGCUCGUUUCACCGUUAUCUCUUUCCCACCGACAGAUACGUUUGUUUCCGUUCGUUUCGAUAGGGUACUCGAGUGGCCUAGCUGAUAAAUUGCUAACAGUUUUUUCGGAUAACCGGUCGAGAAUUGCAGGGAAAGUGAAACUUUUUCGAACGAAUUUUCAAUGGAAUUGGUUAAUGGAAUCUCGUUUGAAAAUACCUACUGUGUUUACAUCACUGCUAGAUAAGGAAAACUCGACGCAAUCAACUAUAAUUGAGACUAAUGACUUCGAGUAGUUAAGGAGACAAAGUCUAUCGACAAACGUAGUGACUUUCCGGUUUGACUGCCUUUAAACGUCAUUGGCUCAUCGAAAUGUUAAUAGGCUGAAAGAAUUUUUUAAUUUUCCUCUGGUAAAUCAAGGAUAGACUUACUGCGAAUAACUGUUUUUCUUUGUGACUUAUAAAAUCUCGAAAACAUUAAAUACCUUUUAUCGCCCGGACGGCGGACCAUGGAGAAAGUCUCAAUUUUAAUUUAAUUUGAUAUUUUCUACAUUUUGCGCUGUUCCUCUGAAAAUUAUUCUUCCAAUAAGUGGCUAAUAAAUUCUGGCCAAUUAAACAAAAAUCAAGUACAAAGGAUAUACAUGAAAAUGGCUAACCGGUCCUGUGGGUACCCGAAGGGUUAACGGUAACCCGUCGAAAUUCAGUAACAAAUUACCAAAAGCUUCCAUCUUCUUUGCAAGAGCGUCGAAAUGAAACUGGUUAUCCCAUUUCGCGAUACUCGCAUUCCCCUCUGGGGAUACGUUGGUCCGCGAUGAGGGACGUUCCAGCGCGAACGUUCGCCACCAGCUCGUAACACGGAGCAAUUUCGACGGCCGAGCACCUUGCUAUUCACCUUGAAACCGGUCCGGCGAUGCUCUUCCUCGCGGGGCCCCCGAUCAAAUCGAAUCUUCGUGUCCGAUCUCUCGUUCACCCGCAAACGAGUUCCACCUCGUGCGCGGAUGCGAGAAUGAUUCGCGAGUACCCGUGUUUAUUUGCCGAGUCAUCUUCUAAAUUGCAGCGUGUUACGGCCGUGUGUCGAUCGUGGAUCGAUAUUGCGGUAAAAAGAGGGGAAAAACAUUAUUGCCCGGCAGCGGUGUUCAAUCGUUCAAGUAGCCGCGAGUUGCGCGAUUCCCACUGACCAACCGGGCUUGUUUUCCUCCUCGCUGCUAAUAAUAACACGAUUCUAUCCUAGAAUUGGAUUUUAAUUAAUGCCGAUUCCGUGUGCGACUAGAACAUAUUUAAUUCGUUGAAACUUUCUGAGGAAGCGAUAACUAAUUAUCUUGCACGAUAUAGGCGUAACUUCGUAUAUUUAUUUCUUUUAAAUUGGAUGCUUUUAUCUUUAAUUAACGCUUAUUAAUCAGUAUAAAGGGAAUAAUUUUAUACUUGGUCAACCUUGACUUCUUUUUCAAUUCAAGUCGGUCAUUCGAAGCAUUUGUCACUUACAAUACGAUAAAUUUAUCGAUGACAUGCUUAAUUAAGACGUGCAAUAAUGAAGUCACCAUUGAGCGUGCAUUAAAUUAGAAUAAUAGACAUUCUAAUUCUAAAUAACUGAUAUUGUUCUUCGCGAAAUAUGCACAUAAGUUCUUGCAUAAUAAAUGUACCAUAUCGAACUACUAGUCGUAUUGUCUCUCAAGAUAUUUUCUAGGAACGUAAUUUACUUUGAAAUUAGAAUAAUUUGAAAAGGUCUGCCGAAUCAACUUCUCGUCCGCCUGUAUUUUCGACAUCGAUCGAUAUCAUCGAAUCCGUAUUAUUUAUUUCGCGCGAUUCGCGGUCAGAUUACGAAUUAUCGCAACCGGACAAAGUACCAUGCGAAUCUUUAUCGCCGGUUCGUAGCCGAGCGCAAAUUGGACGCGCGAUCGUUUAAGGGGUCGUGUGGUUGCUCGAAAGCGGGUCCCCUUUCCUUCCUUUCGGGCCGUGGAACGGUUCGUUCGGUCCACGGUUACAGGAGGAAAGAGGGUGCCCGAGAGAGGGAGAGAUCGGCCAACCACGAUAUAUAAUGCCGCUGGCAUGACAAGGCGAGAGCAAUUAGAUGUCGCCGGAUGCAGCUGCAGGCGAUUGCGUCAUCGGAGUUACUUUGCAACCUUGAUCUCUCCGGAAGGGUCUCCGUUGGCCUGUCCCUCCCUGCUCUACGUGGUUCCUACCACCUCCAUCUUCUUUCGUCGCUGUCCUUCGAUACAUUUAGCUCGCUCGUUCAACGUGGAAUUCAUCCGACGCGAUAAACGCGAGACGAACGAUGACAGAUUCGCGUUAGUUCCGCGUAUUCAGACGGAAACACGGCGUAACUAUGGAAAUUUCGACGGCAACGGCGGCAGAAAAGUUACGACGGCUUUCAUUUACAAGUCGCCGCUUAUUUACAUUCAAUCAGCUAACGAGUGGAAAAAAAAAAACAGAGGGAAAAACACACAGGCGAAGAAAAUACUGAUAUUAAACGGCGAUUCGACGAUAAGGAAAUCCGUUCUAUCCGAAGGAGAUCGCGAUAGGCUCGCGUGUAUUCUUCGGAAACUCCGCGCAAAAAAAUAGGAUUAUCUUGUAAAUCAAGCGGUUUCGCGACGUGCCCCGGAAGCGACUAGCCGGCCCGUGUAAUUUAGACGCCGAUUAAGCUAAGAGUCGUUAAAGAGUUUGAAAGGAGCGCGGAGAUAGGAGAACAGGUGCGAUCCUAGAACGAUAUCGCGUACGUAGACGCGAGUUUCUCUCCUCGUCGUAGCUCAUCCCGCCGAAGCGGAGCGGCGAAACGCGCGCGACCAUACGAACGAGCCGCUCGUUUUUGCCGCUCGGUCAUCGCGGUGUGUCGUGAUCCUCGCCGCGGAAUCGUGGGACUCGUUAGCCCGCGCUCGGGUUAAUUAUCCUCAGCCUGGUGAGAGCCUAUGUUUACUCUACCUUCGGCUUUUUCUUGCCGGCCCUCUUCGGGGGAAAAAAGAGGAACGCCUACGAGGGCCAGAUUAUCCGUAUCCUCGACUAUCUGACUUCUAUCAAAGACACGAACUAUGCGAUUUUUUUCCAAGACUUUCCGUGGAAGAAAAUUGGACCGGCUGCUCGGCUGUUUCGUGAUCGGUAUUGGAUCUUGGCAUUUAACUAGGUGUUAAUUGUUAGAAGCUUGAAGGAUCAAGAUACCUGUUGGUUCUUCUAAGGCUAAGAAGGAUCUUAUAGAAUUUAUUUGAUGGUGAUAGAACAGAAAAGCUGCUAACAGACUCUUAAGAUGUGACAAAAUAUUUGGGACUUGGUUUUCUAAUUUUUUGAGAUUCUAUUCAUUCUGAUAAAAUAAUUAAAUAAUUAAAAUAUUUACAUUAGACUCGUGCAUUUCAAAAUGCAACAUUUAGUUUACUUUUCACAUUUUCAUUAAUAUUUCUUCAUACUGAAUUCAUAAAUUUUUUAUUAUAUGAAAUUUUAGUUUGAUUUUGAAAUGUGAAUCAUACUGCUAAUGUUUAUACUGAAAUCUAUAUAGUAAUGAGUAAUGAAUUAUUAAAUGAGUACUAGCGAGAAAGGUUAGCGAAUGUCCCUCUGGCGACGAGUACUGAAAGUAUCAUCUCAAACAUUCUAAAAUGACUGCGUCUAGCUCGUAAAGUAUCACCAGACCAUUUUAAAAGACGGAAGAUGAUUCCCACCUAACUGGUAUAGGAAAGGUGUAGGCGAUUCUGGAAUUAAAUUAUGGAAGAUUCUCAUCGAACUUGUCUCUGACAGUAUAAAAACAUUUUUAGGGAAUGGUAGCCUUCGAACAGCGCUGAUGAAGAAAAUAUUUUUCCUAACAAUAGAAACACCGAAGAAUCUUCGCGCUCGAUCAUUUCUACCCCUAUUAUAAAAUUCUUUGCUGGAUAAAUAGUUUCUUUCUCUGUCAAUUACGGGUAAAUUUUCAUCGUCGCGUCAAUUUCAACGGGUCAUGGAAGGGUAUAACAUGCGUAGAAGAUGCUUGGCUCGCAGCAGUUUUCUUCGAAGGAAAAAAAAGUUCCCACGGGAUGUGGAGAACUGCGGAAGAGGGACGUAUAGGAGCACGUGUAGCGUGGCUGCGACAGCUUAAAGACAAUUCACACAUGGCCGACCUAUUUCGUGGUUCCUUCGUCUCAGAUGCGUGCACGUUGCGCGUGUUCCUUCGAUAUGCAAGUAGGACUGCUAGACAUCUGUCUGAUGUGUUUGUUAGGCGAACCACAACCUUUCUUGGGGAACCAAGAAUUUUUGACCAUGCUGAAGAAAUAAUUCGUUUCUUCCACCAUUAUUGGUUUAACCCUUCGAUUCCAAGCAAUAAAAUUAUUCAUAAUUUUUCAAAGUUUCUUCCUUUGGAAAGUGAGUCCAAAUAUUCCAUCUUUGAGGAAAGAAAGAUACAUGUAAAGCUCCCUUUUAUUGACAACGUUCCGUGUGUUAAUCUUCCGUCUCCCGAAACACACCCCUCUAUCCUCGUUCUAUUCGACUUGAUUGGUUCAGCGGGAGUCCAUUGCAGCCAGCUGCUUUGAAUAAUUAACCGAGCAUCGUUGAUGCUCCGAUUGGCUCCACUAGCCGAGGAAACGACGGGAGACAGACAAUUUCCUACAUACUAGUUUUCUAGUCUCCAAGUUUUUUUCUCUCUAAAUAAACUUGUCAUCGGUGGCUAAAAUUACAUAGAAAUUUUAUUUUAAUUUGUAAGAACCACUCUUUAAAAUAUUCAUGUUUUCUGUCGUCUCUUUUAUUACAUUAACUGCAAUAUCAUUAAAGACUAACUAUUUCCAACUGAAAUUUUCCUACGUCAGCCGUUUUUGAUCGUUUAAAAAAAGAUUGCUGUGCGAACACGUGCAAUUAUGAUCGCGUCGUGCCUCAGAUGGCGAUCGACGAAACUGUUUUAUGUUAAUUCUAAUCGCGCGGCAAUGAUAUCAUUCGACUGACUCACUGGUGGUCACGUUGAUCUGGCUAAUGCAUUUAAGUGCGAGCAACCAGCGGCUAGUGCUAUUAAUCGUUCGGUAAUCGAAUCGUUCAAUUGACUCGAUUUUCCUUUGAACGACGGAUUAUCUGUUGUUGACGGUCUCUUUUCUUCUUCAAGUUUAUCCAAGGUGCAUCAGUCGAAUCGACGUUCGCGAUUCGUUCCAUCGAAUCGAUACGAUGAACCAUCGAUACUCACGAAUUUGUGUUUUUCUUGCCUCUCGCUUUGAAUUAUUCAUCGAACGCCUAAGCGUGUAAUUGUUGUUGAUCCUUCGACCAUGGUUUCACAUUGUGUUUCGGUGUCGUUCGACUUGUAUUGCUUUUCAGUUGCUAAUUAUAAUGAUUUGUGAUCAGAGGAUGGUGAACAAACAUUUCUCAGACCUUUCUCAAAGGAAUUAGUGAAUGUCGUAAGUACUGCUGUGCCAUAGUAAAUUUAUUUUUAUAUUUUAGCAAGGGGAAUUCUAUUUGAACGAUAUAUUUUUUUGAAGUGAUUCUAAAUCAAAUUGUUCUCAUUAAUUCAAACGAUUUGAAAUGUUGCAAUGAAACUAAAAGCGAACCGGGUCGUUUUCGAAUUUCCAAGAAAGUGAAAAGAAUGCCUAUAACAUUACCCUCUGUCGGUGGCCACAAUCUUAUCAAAAUCACAUACUCGAGCGCGUACGAAAUAAUUCUUUCACAUAUUUCCAAUCUCUGUAAUCUGAAAAAAACAGGAAGUUUCACGAUGCCUUUAGACAACUGUAUUUACGGAAGAAUUUCAAAAUCAUCUCUCGACACAGCUGCACCGCGUACAGGAACAAUAUCAAUAACCGCGACGAUCACAAUUACCAACACAAACACCUCCUCUUAUCUCGAAUCUGAGUAACUUUGAUAAAUCGCUUGUCAUUCUUCCAACCUGCCACAUCACCAAAUCCAUCCAACGCCUUUCUCGAUGUCCCAACAGAAAGAAGAAAGACGAAGAGGAAGAAGAAGAAGAAAAAAAAAAGAUCCAUCUUCCUCUGAUUUGCAGGGCAACCUUGAUCGUUGGUAAUCUCGAUCCUCCGAGAUCCACGCCGGCGAUCCUCUUCUUCCUGUCCCGUCUCCCUUUCCUCGACGUCUUCUUCGUCUUCUUCCUCCGCGGACGUCGUGUCAUUCUUCACCGCCAGGGGCGUCAGUGUCGCCGGUGGACUCGAAAGAAGGAGGGGAAAUCGGAGGGCCGUGUGUGUCCUCGCCGUGUGUGUUUCUAGUCGAUGCCCCUCGAGACUCUUCAGUUCUUCACGGGCCUCCGUGCGAGCAGGUUUUACGAAACUGUUCAAACUCCAUCCUUUUCCCCUCCACGACUUAUCCACGAAGGAACCUCUACUCUUUCGCUACAGUAAAACGCAGCCGAAUACAUUUUCGACCACGUCCUCGAAAUCUAUCAUUUUUCAUCGUGUACCUCGAUUUAAUCGUUCUGUUCGCACUUUUUUCUUUUGGAACGUUCUAUUCCUUGAUCCUUGAAUAAAAAUCAUCUUCGAAAGUAUCCAAAAUCAACCCUUCAGAACGAUCCUGCUGUUAGGACGGUUCGUGAUCGAUGGUUCGAAAAAAAAAUCGAGACGAUGGAAGAAGAAUAGUGCGUGAAGUGCGUGUACCGAAUAGUGCUCGUGAAGUGACUAACUGUCUGGCGCGAAGAAGAUUCAUGAAGAUAGAUCGAAAACGAGAGGGAAAUUGAGGAGAGAGGUACCGAUCGGUACGUACGCAUAUAUGGUAGAGAUCCAGCAGCGAGGUAUAGAGUUCCUACGUAGCGUUCAGAAAGUAGGAACUUCAUACCGUGCUCUUGGACUUGCCGAAAGAUCGUCGACCGAAUGUAGGCGGCCGGAGAUUGUCGAAAUGAGAAAUUAACGAAAGCGAAACGAUACGCGGGGGAUCGAUAAUGGAAAAGUACCGGCGGACGCAGCCACAGAGGCCGAUAAGCACGGGAUUUAUCAGUGAUCGCUCUACCAGACCCGCUCGCUACAGGAUGCCGAUUUCUGUCGAAGUAAGUGACGACUGCAAGCGCCUACUGUUCCACCGAUUUCCUUAUUUCGGCAGUUUUUUUUCUUUCCCAACGUUGCAACGUGUUCGCUCAUUUUCCCGUGAACGUUCGCCCACAGUUUCGUGGCUGAUCGAUCGCGCGCUGGAUCACUUUGCUACCUCGUGAUUCAGCUCUCUGUCUCUGUUCGUCGGUGAAACGAUUUUAGGAAUGUCUACCGUAUUAUUGAAAUAUUGGGGUCAUUCUUGUGAUUUUAGCAUGUGCGAUAAAUGGUUUUGGAAAAUUCUAAGAGAAAUGAUAUUGAUAUUGAAAUUGGUGAGAAUAAUUGAUUUUAGUGGUUUUAUGUAACUGAAAAACACUCCCAUGUGGUAAAAUGCUUUAACAGAUGUGAGUUGGUGAAUGCAUUUUAAAAAAUUCGUGUAAUAAAAUGUUUUCAAAGAUUCUAUUCGUUAUAUGGAUUCUAAAAUAUAGAAAUUCUUUUAUUUAAAAUAUUCUUGCAACAAAAUAUUAUUUUCUGAAUUUUUGAAAUAUUCAAUCAAUUUUUAUGGUAGAAUACUAGUUGAAUUUUACGUUGAUAAAAAAUUUAAUAACAGUGUAGUAAAAGCUGGUCCGGUUAAAAAAAAAAAAAAUCCGCUUUUACAGCUAAACAAAAUUCCUGAUGAAAAAUCGGAAAGAUACUGUUUUUUAAAUGUUAAAUAUUCUUCUGAAUUGGGUCUACAAAGGAAUAUAUUAAUUUUUGAAAUUUUUAUCAUGAAUUUUAAUUUUGUUUUUAAAUCAAAAUUUAAUGCAAUUAAGUGAAAUAAGCACAGUAUUCCAAAUUUUCUCUUCUUCGAAUAAAAGUAUAUUUGUGAAUGAUAUGCAAACGACAAGAUAAAUAUUUCGAAUUGAAAUUUCCAUCGAUUAAGGUACCACGAUUCACGUUCCAAAAACAGACCCGUCAUUCCAGUCAAACUUUUAUCGAAAACAGAACACGUAGAACAUGGCAAGUAUUCGAAAGAAAGGAAGAACAAGUGGAAUUGGCAAUACCUCCAAAAAUAGUAUGCCACGCUUUCUCGCUUACCAAUCGAAUCUAUGAUUUGAAAUUUAGUUAAAAAUGCCCUUGAAGAACGGCUUCUUCAAACUACGAGGCUAUAAUUAAGAAUGUAAAUCCAUCCAUGGUAGUUCGAUGAACAGUAAAGAAUUAAUUAUUUAAAGUACCAUCUUGGAAUAAAUUUGAAAGUAGAGAAGGUAUUCGUUUAUUUUUAGACACAUGUGCAUGUUUAUGGGUAUAAAAUAUAACUACAAUUUUGUAUUGUUUUUUAUGGCUUUAUAUGAUUAAAAAGUAUUUUGAACCUAAGUCCCGUUAAAUUGUAUUAAAAAAAAUUAUGAAAAACUGAAUAUUUAAAAAUUCUAAAUAAUUGUUGCAAUUACUUUCUCAGCACUGGCAGAAUAUUCCACUUAUAAAAAUUCUGGAAUCUUUUGAAUUUGAUAUCUAGAAAAAUGUAAAGUAGAUAUUAUUGAUUUCAGAUCGUAUUGGUAUAACAUAAAAUUAAUAUGAAAUGUAAAAUAUCAUCGAUAAUCUACGGAAGCUUAUGCAAUCAUAACAUAUCAGAGUACACAAAAAAUAUAUGAAGAAAUGAAAUAAAUUAUUCAGAAAAUGUGUAAAUGAAGGUAAUACUUUCAAUCACCUGAAGGGAAAAAAUAUUUUAUAAAAACAUAUAUUUGCAUUAAGAUCUAUGGUCAGAAUAUUUGUAUUCAUAUUUCUAUUUGUUAUUGAAAUAUAAGUAUUAUUUGAUAGAUAUUAUUAAAUUAAUAUACCGAUACAUUGAAUUUAUUACACUAUUCCUAAAAGACUAUUUAGAGCCUUAAUUUGAUGUUAGAAAAGUAAAUUGUUUGUUCAUAUGUGUACAUGUAUUGCAUAUUGUUAAAAAAAAAAAAAAAAAAAAAUAAUAAUAAUAAAGAAAAUCCUGCAGAUGUCAUCCACCUCUAUUUGAUAUAUGUAUAAUAAUCUGAAGUACCCGAGAAAGGAACAACGGGUUUCAAUUAAAAAUAUAUACUUAUCCAAUAUCACUAAAUGUCCAAUAAAUAUAAAGUCCAAAAUUGUUAUUAUUCUGUAUUCGUUAUUAUGCUUUCAAAAAAUCAUUAUAUUGUAAUUUACCUCAGAAUCGAAAAUAUUAAUUUUGUCUAUGAUUUUGGGAAAAUGCGCUCUCAAAAAAAGUAGAAAUCAGUCUCGGGACAAAACCGUCGCAGAGAAUAAUUAGCCAUUAAUUAUCGAUUCGUCGCGACGCUUGACCGUGCAACACAUGACCCUGAAGUUUUACGUAAAUACCGCGAAAUCAAAGUUAUCUUACUUAUCAUGAUCACAAUUGAUCAUGUCGAAACCCUGUCUUCGCUUAUGAUCGAACUGUCUCGAUUGAUUAGCAACUCAUCGAUUAAUUUACUUAUCAAACUGCGUAUCUGAUUUCCUCUUAUUGUUGUUGACGUUGCAAAUUCAAAUACCGAAGUUCAAAAUAUUUUCUUUUUUAAGUAAAAGAAGGAAUCGAUAUUUUAUUUACUUACUGUAUGUCGGAAGAGGUAGACGUUAGAAAAUAUUUGUGAUACAAAACGAAAAAAUAAAGAAGAAAAGAGAAAUUCAGACAAAAAAUAGAAGACACGAGUGAAUUCAAUGAUUUGCUGGUUAUUUUGAAUCUGAAAGAGAGACGACUUUUUCGGCGAAAAAUGUCUGGGAAGCUUGCAAAAUGGACGAAUUCAAAGAAAAAAAGUGCUAUAAACAUUGGGGAUGGCCAAAGGGAAGAGCGAGAACUCGAAACAUCAUCAUUUUUCUCGAGGAAACCUGAUUUGAGUGCACAAUGCACGACUUAUGGUAAAAAUAUUUUGAAAACCAUGAAGAAGACGUAAAUAUUCAACGCGUCUGCAGUUAAUUUUAGCACAGGAGAGAGACGGAUUUCUGAGAAGAAAAGAUCGUUGUUUUGAAAAAUAUAAGCAGAGAUAAACACAAGUUUAACGCUAUACUAAUUAUCUUAAAUUUAGUCUAGACACUGUAAGCUGUUUUUAUCAACUUAAAAGACAGCAACACAAAUAAUAAAACCUUCAUAAAAAAUAUUUUUUAAUACUAUAUAGGACUAAUAAUUUUCUGACUAAACUCUUCACUGUAUUUUGCAGCUAAAAUUGUAAAAAAUUACAUAAACACUCAAAUUCUUGAAGUUGAAAUAAACAACGAUAAUUAAUAUCAAAACACACGAGACAAAUAAAACAAAGUAAUUAUAAAUUUAAUUAUAAUUAUAAGAUAAAAUUAUUAAAUUUUGGGAUAUUUAUAAUAAAAUAUUUGAAUAUAAAAUCAGAGAUCCAAAGGUGGUAAAAAAUUCAAAUGACCAGAAUUCGGUUUUUGCUAAAUAAAAAUUUGGUGAACGUAAAUAAAUUAUUGCAAAAUCUAUAAUCCUAUAUGAAAGUGGCGAGCAGAUAAUUCGCGCGCCUACGAUAAGCCGAUAUUUUUCUCCGAUUAACGAUAACAAUAUCAAGUUUCCAUCCCGGUACAGCCUUAUCACUGGUCGAGUUCCAAUAUUGACGAACAUCAGAUACAGACGACAACCGAACAUAGUCGUAGAAAUAUAUUCCCAUGGAUUACAUAGAAGUAACAGUCAUAGUUAUAACAGUAAUAGUUGUAAUCAAACACUGAUAUCGUCGACAAAUUAGAAAAUAUCAAAUUGUUUAUCAAUAGAGUAUAUCAGAAAUUGUAGAAAAUUCCAAGUUAAAUAAAGAAUUCUUUCCCCACAAUGGCUCUGUAUUCAUUUUACCAGUUUCACGAGGGUGGCUGAUAGUUCCUCGUCGAUAUUGGUCCCGAUCGAUGUUUGUAUGCGGUGACAGGAUUAUGUUUGACUCAACGAAUCAGUGCCAGGGCCAUUUGUCACUUGGAGAUUAAAUAGAGAGCCCAACUGUCUUCGAGAAGCGCACGAGGCAUGGUACAAGGGUGAUUAUUAGACGUCUCUGCUUCGAUGCCACCCCCACUAACUUGUACCCGAUUCUUUUUUCUCUGCUAGCGUUACAACCCCCGUGGAGAUAAGACAUCUCGACGAGAGGAUCCUGGUCCCUGGUCGUUGAAUUAGCAUGCGUCAGUCGCGAUGAUAUUUUUCACGGUGAGACACGUACGGUUUCCUCGACAAAUUGUUGCCGUUUAUGGGCUCCAGAUGGAUAUUUGCAUGAGGGGUGAGGGAGCUUGAAGGUUGCUGCGUUUUCUCUGCCUACCGCGUUCGCUUGAAAUCACCUAUGGCGGUCGGUUUGCUUGAAGGGUAAUUUUUAUUUUCCAAGGUGAAAUUAAUGAAUUUAACGAAUUUUGUUGCUUUGUAAUUAGGUUGACUUUUUCAAAUGCGAAUUCACAACACUUUUUAUUGUCUGUUUCAAGAGAAUUAAUGAGAAAUGAUCAAAUAAAAAAUGAAAUAUAAUACAUACAUAAGUAGUAUUAUAUUAACCAACAAGAAAUAUAAUAAGUUUCCCUUAUGAUUCUAGGAAUUUAUUAAUAUUACAAAAUUGCUUAACAAGACUGUUUUCGAAGUAAUUGAAACAUUUUCAAGUGAAGCUAAGAUGACCUAGACACUAGAAAAAUUCUAGUUCAUCUUGAAUAAGAUAAGGAGGAGCUGAUAAACUCGAGUACUCACACAAACGUUGCUGCAUUUUUUAGUUUCCUCUUAUCUAGAGUUUCUAAGUUACUCGGCGGCCUGUUUAGCUUUUCACUAUGAAAUAGUAUGCUUGAAAUAGUCAAGCUUGAUUUAGAAACCAGAAUAAAAGCAGAAAUAAAUAUUUUGAAAAAUUGUAUAAAAUAAUUGGAAGUUGUAAUUUCUUCUUAUUAAAUACAAUUUUUUAAAAAAUAAUAAAAAAGAUAUCAUACACUCUAUGUCCAUAUUAAAUUAUUUUUUAAAGCAAAACAUACUCCCAGAUAAUUUUGUUUAAAAUCAAAAUCACAAUGAAACAUCCCUCACACACCCCGAACUCUCACGUUCAAUUUCACCCUUUAUCUGCAGUAUCAUUUUUUUUCAAACAUUUUUCUGUUCACAUGUCAACGCGUAACCAAACUAUUCUCUUUUUUUUUUUGUUUCAAUUCGAGGUGACAUUCAAAACAGUUCGACAUUUCGAAAAGUUUCGGCGGCCCAGCAUCUGCCCGUUUUUCCACGCGCAAUGCACGUACAUGUACGGCCCUAACAAAAAUCACGCACGCGAAGAUGGGGUGCAUAAAUUAUGGUGAACGCCAUCUUUCUCCUAUGGCGUGCCGAUUGGACGAACGAAAAAAAUCCAUCCCUCGGCUGAAAUGCUCCUACACGCACGGGCCCCGCUUUUCACCCCAAAUAUGCGAAACAUCGUGGCCGUCCGCGCCAUUUUCCUUGCACGAUUUCAACCCACGAUUUCAGUGGCAUGCGAUUUACAAACAUCGUUAUUGCGCUCGAUUAAACGACCGAGUGAAGACUGUAAGAUAAAUGCAACUCGGUUGCUCCAGUUACAAUGAUAUUUUUUAGAAAAAAAUUGAUGCAUCAAGGGUGGAAAGGGGUAAGUAAGAGGAACUGAUAUGAUUAACCCUUAAAGAACAGGCAGACCUUUUUUAUAACUUUUACAUUUUCAAAUUAGAACUUCUAUAAAUGUGUUAAAAUAUUUUAAAUAGUACAAUAACGAAAACAGAGAAAUUGCAUGAAACCUUUAUAGAUUAAAUAACAAGAUUGAAAUAAUCGGAAAAUGGUAUUAGCAUUACAAAUUCAAUAACAGAUGUUCCAAACUGAGCACCUACAUUAUAAAAUAAGUAUUUCUAUAAGUAGUUUGAUUUCUGAGAAAUCCGACUUAAUACCUCAGGAAUUAUUAAAAAUGUAAUUACUAUAAUCAUACAUAGGCACAUGCAAUAACUUCAAUUUCCCAUACGAGAUUGCUAUAUUUUAUUUUACUAAUGACGUCCACGAGCUGGAAUUAUAUUAAUUAUUAAUUUAUUUGAAGUGGCCUAUAAUGGACAAAUUUUCAAUUGAAAGUUGCUAGUGAAAAUUUAAAUAAUAAAGUUAUCUAUAAUAAAGUAAAAAAAAAGGAAAGAAAAACACCCUCUCGUGUUAAAUUUCUUCCUAUAGAAUUAUCUAUAUUCAAAUUGCUCUGUCAGUUUCGAUCCACCUUGUGUAAUAAUAGUUUGAAUACCACUUUGGAAUCUUGGUAAGCUUAAACUUGCAUUAGCGCAAAUCCUGUUAAUGAACUAAAACUCAGAUUGCCGUCCCCGUUUAUCCCGUGAAAGGCAAAUGUUUCUUCCGGUCGCGGUGUCCCGCGAGGGAACUUGUUCCGUGAGCGCUAGAGGAUCGUCACGUUUGGGGAUGCUCUUUGCAACUGUGUGCACCUGGCGCGAUUGCACAUUCGACGAAAAUUGCACUGCAUUAUGCUUCAUGACGCCGGGACGCGGCGGUGUGUUGCAGCAACUUUGGUCAUUGAACUGUGCUAGACAUGUGGCGCAAGUUUGCAUGUACAAGGUGUUCAACAAUUGAGAAUAACCUGAGACCGAUAUUAACCCUUUCAUUGCGCUCAACGUACACCCCUGGCCAAAAGUAUUAAGACACCUGCUGAUUUCACACAAUACUUGAUAUUUCAACCAGAUUACACAUUUUUUGUUACUUUCAGUAGCAAAAACAUCUAUUCAGGUAUUAAUAUUUAUUAUUUAGAAAAUCAAUUUUUCACGGUGUUUCUUAAUAAAAAAUUGCAGCAAUUCCCAAAAUAAAAAUUUUUACACUAAUUUAAAGAAUUUAAAAGAAAAUCGACAAAGUCUCCAUUUGACUAAAUGUACCUAUCUUUCUUCAGACCUAAGAACUGAAUUCUGUAUUGUCACGGUGGUCCAUCGUACGGGUAAUGGCGGUGUCACGAGCGUCACCCCAUAAAAGGGAGAAAUAAAAAAGGCAAAGGAAAGAGCGAAAGGCAGACGAUGUCCGGCGAUAUCUCGAACGGCGGAACGCGACGAUAGUUAUGAAUCGAUGGACAAUGCGAGCGGGUUAUCGGACCCGCGAAAUUAUCGCUUCAGGGACGCGAACAAAUUGGCCGAGCGAUAUUUAUAAAUUACACUUCGUGCUGGCCCGGCCUUUUGUGUUUUCAGACGACCGUUGCCCGACGAUUUUGUUAUUUAUUAACGGCGAUAGCGCUGUAAAUCUUCGAGUUUAUCGUGCAUCCAUAAAUUUCGGCUCUUAUUACGAUCGAUCCGACGCUUUUAAGUACGCGCGGAAUGUGAACGAAUUUAACAUACGUGCUCGUCGUUUUGUUUCGUUUAAUGGCAAAUUUCUUUCACCCUUCGUUACUCGUAUCAUUCGAAUAUCUUAUGGUGUUCUUACGGAUAAAGAAGAUUAAAAGUUCAAUGUAUUCUUCUUAUACAGAAUACGUUACUGCAUAAAAAUGGUAAGACACUUAUUACAUUUAUUAAAUGUCAGGGAUUGUUAAUUACGGUUAUAUGAUGAUGUAUUUUUAAUUUUACCACAAAUUACGACUGUAAUUAAAUAAUGGACCUACACUGAACAUCGCGAUUAUAAUAGUUUCUUAUAUUGAGGAUAACAUCUAAUUAGCCGAUGUUUCAAGACAAAAAGAAUAAUUAGCAGCUCUUAAAAAAGAAAAAUACAAACAUAAUCACAUUCAUGGCAAUUAAUUAAUAUUUCAUGAUACCUCUUCCAUAUACCAUAUAUUAUUAAGUAAUAAAAUUACCUAAUUCGUAUCACCUCAGUUAAAAGGAGCAAAUAUUAAAACAUUUAUCAAAGUACUUAUUAUCAUAUCAAAAGAAUUUAAUUGAAGUCAUAUACAACUUAAAUGAACAUUAUCCCCGCAUAUUAAUGUGAAUUUAAACCCAGAACACAGUAGAUAAAUGUAAAAAAACCCAUAGUUUUCAGUCGCAGAAAUGAGAUGUAUCUGCUAGUAGCUUUAAGCGUGCAAGCGUGUACACGCGUGGAGGCUUGCAUUUCCCUCGCAGGAAGUCAAAGCAACUGUGGUCGCGACGCGCUAAUGGAAAUCGUAAACAUUAAUUAGCAGAAUGGCCGUGGCCCAUGCACCGAGAAAUAGGAUUCUGAACUACGACUCAGGAUCCGUUAUUCCUGUGACGUGGAUCCAUCGAUCCACGAUCAUGGAUGAUCCUAAUGACGUAUGCUGUUUGAAUGAAGCCUGAUUGCUGGCUAAUCUCAGUUGAUGACGUGAAAUUAAUACGAAACAGACAUUGCUUUUGAAACGUUCUAUGUAGGUAUUAUUUUUCGAAAAUUAGAACAAUUGAAUAAGGACAAUGAAGACCAUCUUUUUCAAUUUUAUAUGAAUUGACCCGUUUCCAAUUUUAUCAUGCUUUCAAAAAAUAUGCAUUCUCAAGAAAGUGGUAUAAUAUUUAGCAUUCUCCAGCAAUCGCCAGACUAAUUUUAAUCUCAAUUACCACCGCUGUAUUUUUGUACAGAAACCUCGAAAUGGCACAUGCAGUUGGGUCAUCUCUGAAUAAUCGAUCGCCUCCAAAACCGACCAGAAUUUAUAACUGGACGAUUUCUCUUCGUCUCGAUAAACUUGUAUAAUCGCGCAAUAUGGUUAUAUCGAUUUGCCAUAAAACAAACGACUGUUCUGUCCCGGCGAAAUACCGCGAAAAUAACUCGCUACGUUUCGUUUAACUCGCCGCAGAUCGUCGCGAUAAAAUCGCUUAUAGAAUUCAACUACCUGUCGCGUUCACGUAAAAAAACAAAAAAUAAAAUAAAAUAAAAUAAAAUGAAAAAUCAGAAAAAAAUAGAAACAGCAGAGAGAGCGAAAGUUCUAAAGCAAAGGUAUACACGAAUCGAACAAUACAGUAUAUUUCAUUUAAUCAUAGUGUAAAUCAUUUAGUUAAACGAUUUGAUUAUAUCGACCAAUAAUUGCCUAAUGGAAAUAUCGUUUAAACGCUAAAAAUGCAACUAAACAUGUUUUGAUCUGUAUUCAAAUUUAAGAACUAUUUUUUAAUCGAUAUUAACAAAGGUUUGCUUCAGACAGAAUCAAUAUAAACAAUUCAAAUUUUUAUCAGACUUCGCUAACGUAUCAACUUUGCAAAUAUCGCAUUCGUCACCAGACGGCGUGUACACAAAACGUUUAAAAAGACAGUCGCAUCAGAAUUUUGGCAGCAAGCUUUCGCUACGACAGCUCUUUUAAAGAAUGUUUCUAUUUCCAAUCUGCAUAUCUCGUACUAGAUUUCCUUAGACUUUAGAAAUAGAAGUGUUUUUUAAUAAAUUAAUAUUAGAAUGAAUAUUUCAAAAUUUUUCAGAAAUCGACCAAGAAAUCAUUUCUACUCCUAAUAGCAUUUCCAGUUUCUCAGUUUUAUUGUUUUCAACUUGGGCUGCGUAUAAAUGGCUCCGCGGUUUAGACAGUGUUAAUGUUUUGCUGGUCGGCGUUGUUUUCGCACUAUAAACAGUUCGUCGACUCCGCGGUUUCGCGUCGACAUGGCUAAACGUUUCGUCAUCCGACGCGUCUGAUUUCCGGGAGAGGAUGCUAUCUAUCGCGCGUACGUCCAUUUCGUCAACACCAUGCCACCACCUUCUCCUAGUCCUUUUUUUCUCCGACUUCCCCCCUUCCUCUUUUGCUUUUUUCGUACCCCGACGAUAACACGGUUCGUCGCUCGAUAAACCUAUCGUCGUUGACGCCCUCCGGACUCGCCGCUUCCCGCGAGCGGAGAUUCGAUACCGGAUGCUGACCAUGAAACUGAGAAGUUUGACCAUUUUAAUGGCGAACAUUGCGAUUAUAUUCGCGUAUUUUUAUAUCAGAACUACCGAAAAAUAACCGGAGAAUGGAAAACAAAAUUUGAUUAAAAGAAACAGCGGAAUAUAAUUUUGUAAUGAUAACAAACAGAAAUAUUGCAUUCGGAAUUGCAAUCGAGUUAGAUAUCCGGAUCAGCGAAAGACCGUUCCUUCCUGCGGUUUAACGCGUCCGUCCGCUCAUGAAUCCUUGGAACUCCCUCGGGAACACUGAAGAUCCGGCUUUUGAGCGGUUUGGACGGACCGUAUGCAGGAAAGUAAUUAUCUCGUGAUUAUUCGAGCGGACGUCGCCGCAUUUCGACGUGGUUAGCGGCAUCGGCAGUUCAUUUAUCAUGCCGUAGAUUUUAACAAGAAGAAACUUGCGGCGAGGAUGGGGUCAGACUGUUAAAUGAACCGAACGAGAUCCACAUACGUAGAUACAUACGUGCAAUUUCUUUAAAAGCACAGGGAUUAUUAAUUUUAUCAAAUGAACCCUUCAAUUGGCACCCUGCAGUAUUUUUGCAUCAAAUAAAAUUAUUCCAAUUUCUUAAAAAUGCAUUUUUUUAAAUGGGAAAGCAUUUAUUUCAAAGAUUCAAUAAGAUUUUCUAAAACAAAAUUCUUAAAAAUUAACAUCCUUUGGCCCUCUAGAAUAGACAUACCAUUUUGGAAAAUGAAAAUAUAACAAGAGGAAUGAUUUAAAAGUAAAAAUGUUGAAUAAAGACAGCACAAUAAAACGAUGCACUUUAAUUCGAUGACCUGAAUCAAAAGGUGAAUCAGAGUAUUAGUACUACUAUCAUUAAUAUCAUGGUUUAAUGUUGGAUCUCUUAGAUCCCCCCUAAUGAUUACUUCCAAUCCUGUUGUAUCAUUAUUAAUAUUGGAUCUCUGAUUCCAAAUUCGAUUCGUCUUCGAGGCUACAAGGCGAGUAUAACUGUGAAAGAAAGGAUUGGUAGAAGAUAGAGAUCUUGGAGGAUAGAUCGCAGAACGAACCGUCCCCUUUGAUAUCUACGUUUGAUGAUCGACGGCCACACAGAGAGACAGAUUACAGCGGAAACAAACGAGUAGCCGGAGGCAUCGAUCAAAUCACUGAUACACCGACGAAAAGUUCUACAUAUGUAAAGCUUUGAAAAAAAAAAGGGUUGAAAAGGUUACCACUAGAAUAAAAAAUAAAUGCACGUUUAACCUUGUCUGGAUCAUUUCUCGACAAAUAUUUACAUAAAAGUGUGAUUUAUUUUAUAGGAUAUUUAAGAAAACUUUAAUUC